This 497-nucleotide ribosomal RNA is filed under the name uncultured bacterium. RNAcentral's name for it is "partial 16S ribosomal RNA". It matches the Rfam family "Bacterial small subunit ribosomal RNA", at positions 28 to 507 of the family's 1533-position model. The record is from RNAcentral.
GAUGAACGCUGGCGGCGUGCCUAAUACAUGCAAGUCGAGCGAACAGACGAGGAGCUUGCUCCUCUGACGUUAGCGGCGGACGGGUGAGUAACACGUGGAUAACCUACCUAUAAGACUGGGAUAACUUCGGGAAACCGGAGCUAAUACCGGAUAAUAUAUUGAACCGCAUGGUUCAAUAGUGAAAGACGGUUUUGCUGUCACUUAUAGAUGGAUCCGCGCCGCAUUAGCUAGUUGGUAAGGUAACGGCUUACCAAGGCAACGAUGCGUAGCCGACCUGAGAGGGUGAUCGGCCACACUGGAACUGAGACACGGGCCAGACUCCUACGGGAGGCAGCAGUAGGGAAUCUUCCGCAAUGGGCGAAAGCCUGACGGAACAACGCCGCGUGAGUGAUGGAGGUCUUCGGAUCGUAAAACUCUGUUAUUAGGGAAGAACAAAUGUGUAAGUAACUAUGCACGUCUUGACGGUACCUAAUCAGAAAGCCACGGCUAACUACGUG